AGUUAAUGGAGACUGUAUGUUAGGGUUUAAAUGGUUUCGCUAUGUGUUAGGCUUCCAAUGGUUCUACGAUAAAAAAUGGCAACUGAAUAGACAAACUAAGUUGUGUUUCUUGUUUCUGAAUAAAACAUUUCACCACGGUUGUUUACAUGAGCCAUGAUGAUAUCUGAUUUAUUUAAUUAAAUUUUAUAAAAAGAGCCAAUUUUUAAUCAUUUAAAAAUAAA
Molecule: long non-coding RNA, 221 nt
Filed under: Lathyrus oleraceus (garden pea)
Lineage: Eukaryota; Viridiplantae; Streptophyta; Magnoliopsida; Fabales; Fabaceae
Description: Pisum sativum (pea) long non-coding RNA (PSAT_LNC038556)
Source: RNAcentral